RNAcentral lists this long non-coding RNA (540 nucleotides) under Sinocyclocheilus anshuiensis. RNAcentral describes it as "lncRNA (ENSSANG00000037921.1)". The record is from RNAcentral. Lineage: Eukaryota; Metazoa; Chordata; Actinopteri; Cypriniformes; Cyprinidae.
GCUUCUCGCUGAAGCCACACAGAGAGGAGUUUACGCCAAAGUCAUGCUCGGCAUCAGUGGACAGGUGAGAUCCAGCUUUAUCAGCAGCACUCCACGAAUGGCAAGGAAACGUUUAGCGAUGAGCCACUCCUCCAACCCAUCACUCAGCAGCGGAGAGAGUCAUGAUAUCACCCAGAGAUCACCUCCCGAGGGAAGUGUCAGCUGUGCGGAGCUGGGCAAAAGCAAAAUAUUGACGCAGGAAAACACUCUGCUUCAGGGUGUGUGGCCGAUAGUAAGGAGUCAUCCACAAACUAGUUCUUCAGCAGGUAGAUUGAUCUCCAGGCAUUGAGAGCAUUUCAAAUUUUAAAACGUACCAUUUCUGUUGUGUGGUUUUUGAAGGACAAAACAUCAAGACGCUCCAUUAUAGGAAUAAAAGGAUAUGUUUGGAGUUCUGAAGAAAUGGAAGGCCCUCAGGAUCCAAACCGAGUUUCAAGCCCAAAGAAGCGCAAACUGCAUAAAAUGUGUGCGGUAGAUUUAGAGGACGAGAUGGUCAUCAAACGU